CAGCCGCCGCGGUAAUACGAAGGGGGCUAGCGUUGCUCGGAAUGACUGGGCGUAAAGGGCGCGUAGGCGGCGGCCAAAGUCAGGCGUGAAAUUCCCGGGCUCAACCUGGGGGCUGCGUUUGAUACUUGGUUGCUUGAGUGGGGAAGAGGGUCGUGGAAUUCCCAGUGUAGAGGUGAAAUUCGUAGAUAUUGGGAAGAACACCGGUGGCGAAGGCGGCGACCUGGUCCUUUACUGACGCUGAGGCGCGAAAGCGUGGGGAGCAAACAGGAUUAGAUACCCGAGUAGUCCCUGUCUCUUAUAC
This 301-nucleotide ribosomal RNA is filed under the name uncultured bacterium. RNAcentral's name for it is "partial 16S ribosomal RNA". It matches the Rfam family "Bacterial small subunit ribosomal RNA", at positions 509 to 807 of the family's 1533-position model. The record is from RNAcentral.